UGGUACUAGCUAGGUAGCUAACUUGAUCCAGCCACUCCUGGUCUUUUCAUCAGACGGGAAGCGAAUGGGCUUCCGGUUGGUGCGCCUCCGUGUACACACGUAUGUGGAAACGAGGCGUAACAGUCUUAAACAGCGGCACAAGCCGUUAGUCCGUUGUUAUUUAACACUGGCUAUCAGCUGUUAUCAAUCCUUAGGCUAAACAUGUUGUGAUAUCAGGCAAAAACCCAAGUUAGUUCAAAGUGAAAAAUACGCCGGUAUAAAACAGUAGAUGCAACAGUGUUAUUGAUUAGAGAACCUACUGCGGUGGCUAUCGCUAUCCAGAAACCCUUUUCGGCACUUUGUUUCCAAAUCCUACAUUUAAACUGAACAAUAAUAUGAAUUUUUUGGGAAUAUGGAUCCGGGGGCGUUGCUUGUGUGAAAGUCAGAGAGUGAAUUAUUACUUCCAGCGGCUGCUCCCGUGAGUAAACGGUACGCUAAAACGCUGCUGUGACACGAGCGGCGUACCACUGCCAUUUUCGGCAAAUGCUGCUAAAACUGUGGCUAAAAGUUUACUACGUCAAUCUGGAUAACAGUAAUAAGCCAUAAACUUUGUGUAUAAAAGUGCAUAGGUGGUUCUUCAAUUCAAUUUGGCUUCGUAAGUGUAGGAGCAACAUUAAGUACGGUUCCGUCAGCUCCUAGUAGGCUGCCAUUGUUGAUGAUAUGUACAAUAUACGUAGCGGCUUAAACGGCGACGUCAUGACGUAGCUCCUACAGGGCUCUUGUCAGUGGAAAAGCAAACAGGUUCAAAGUUACGAACCAAUUGCGAACCGUUCUAGCACCAGCACGGAGAUAGAACCAGUGUUAAUUUUGGCAGCUGGUUUUUGGUGUGAAAGGGGCACAUGUUCCUCUGAGACUUUUCUUAUUUUGGAUUUAUCCCUGUUUAACACACUGAGAAUAGGAUUAGGAACAUUAUUUAAACUUGCAAGACUGCUGGAGUCCCUCAAGUUGGAGUCAUUAUUUCAAGAUUAAACAUCGUUUUAAAAUGUCUAAAUACUGUCAAGAUUUUCAUGAAGAGCGACUUCCUCCUCGUGUGGCAUUUUUGAAUUAUUUCAAGUUUUACAACGGACCAUGUGGAUCUUAGUAUUGUACUCUCGUAUUGACGUUGAACGGAUCAUUGGAACACUCUACUGCCGGAACAGGCGGAUGCAGCAGCGACAGGACGAGAUGUAAAACGGGAGAGAACCGGAGACCAUUAACCAAUUGUAUUGAAGGCCCUCUAAUGCAAAGCGGUCCAACAGGAGGGCUGAACUAAUGGAGCAUUCAGAAGAAGAAGUCGACCUUCCGACCUCCACCAAGAGACGCUCGCAGCAACCUGAGACAGCAGGUGUAAAAGGAUGUCGCAGGCCUCUGAUGAAACAGCAGCAGUCUGGCGCCACCUCGGAAGAGAGGAGUGGGAGGAGAGGAGCUGAACCAUGGAGAUUCCACAGUGGAAAAAGGAUGCAGUCCCUUGACCACACAUUUGGUCACAGCCCUGUGUAAUUAAUCCGCCCUGUGUUUAGUCAAAUUGGCCUUCUUUGCCAAGGUGAAUGGGGUCCUUGUUGUAGCUGGAGAGUAGGUUCAAACCCCACUGCAGUCAGCAUGUCGUUGUGUCCCUGAGACACUUC
Long non-coding RNA from Notothenia coriiceps (black rockcod), 1643 nucleotides. RefSeq lists it as uncharacterized. NCBI's taxonomy places the organism in Eukaryota, Metazoa, Chordata, Actinopteri, Perciformes, Nototheniidae. The transcript has 4 exons. The record is from RefSeq and is a predicted model, not a curated record.